AGUGAACGCUGGCGGUAGGCCUAACACAUGCAAGUCGAACGGCAGCACAGUAAGAGCUUGCUCUUACGGGUGGCGAGUGGCGGACGGGUGAGGAAUACAUCGGAAUCUACUUUUUCGUGGGGGCUAACGUAGGGAAACUUACGCUAAUACCGCAUACGACCUACGGGUGAAAGCAGGGGAUCUUCGGACCUUGCGCGAUUGAAUGAGCCGAUGUCGGAUUAGCUAGUUGGCGGGGUAAAGGCCCACCAAGGCGACGAUCCGUAGCUGGUCUGAGAGGAUGAUCAGCCACACUGGAACUGAGAAACGGUCCAGACUCCUACGGGAGGCAGCAGUGGGGAAUAUUGGGCAAUGGGCGAAAGCCUGAUCCAGCCAUACCGCGUGGGUGAAGAAGGACUUCGGGUUGUAAAGCCCUUUUGUUGGGAAAGAAAAGCAGCAGGUUAAUACCCCGCUGUUCUGACGGUACCCAAAGAAUAAGCACCGGCUAACUUCGUG
This 492-nucleotide ribosomal RNA is filed under the name uncultured bacterium. RNAcentral describes it as "partial 16S ribosomal RNA". It matches the Rfam family "Bacterial small subunit ribosomal RNA", at positions 29 to 507 of the family's 1533-position model. The record is from RNAcentral.